ACGGUAACAGAAAGCAGCUUGCUGCUUUGCUGACGAGUGGCGGACGGGUGAGUAAUGUCUGGGAAACUGCCUGAUGGAGGGGGAUAACUACUGGAAACGGUAGCUAAUACCGCAUAACGUCGCAAGACCAAAGAGGGGGACCUUAGGGCCUCUUGCCAUCGGAUGUGCCCAGAUGGGAUUAGCUAGUAGGUGGGGUAACGGCUCACCUAGGCGACGAUCCCUAGCUGGUCUGAGAGGAUGACCAGCCACACUGGAACUGAGACACGGUCCAGACUCCUACGGGAGGCAGCAGUGGGGAAUAUUGCACAAUGGGCGCAAGCCUGAUGCAGCCAUGCCGCGUGUAUGAAGAAGGCCUUCGGGUUGUAAAGUACUUUCAGCGGGGAGGAAGGGAGUAAAGUUAAUACCUUUGCUCAUUGACGUUACCCGCAGAAGAAGCACCGGCUAACUCCGUGCCAGCAGCCGCGGUAAUACGGAGGGUGCAAGCGUUAGUCGGAAUUACUGGGCGUAAAGCGCACGCAGGCGGUUUGUUAAGUCAGAUGUGAAAUCCCCGGGCUCAACCUGGGAACUGCAUCUGAUACUGGCAGGCUUGAGUCUCGUAGAGGGGGGUAGAAUUCCGGGUGUAGCGGUGAAAUGCGUAGAGAUCUGGAGGAAUACCGGUGGCGAAGGCGGCCCCCUGGACGAAGACUG
RNAcentral lists this ribosomal RNA (687 nucleotides) under uncultured Escherichia sp. RNAcentral describes it as "bacterial SSU rRNA". It matches the Rfam family "Bacterial small subunit ribosomal RNA", at positions 66 to 742 of the family's 1533-position model. The record is from RNAcentral. Lineage: Bacteria; Pseudomonadati; Pseudomonadota; Gammaproteobacteria; Enterobacterales; Enterobacteriaceae.